GGACAGCUGUCCCUUCGGGGACAGCUGUCC
RNAcentral lists this unclassified non-coding RNA (30 nucleotides) under synthetic construct. The record is from RNAcentral.